GCCGGGUGCGGUGGCACACGCCUGUAGUCCUAGCCACUCGGAAGGCUGAGGCAGGAGGAUCGCUUGAGUCCAGGAGUUCUGGGCUGCAGUGCCCUAUGCCAAUCGGGUGUCCGCACUAUGUUCGGCAUCAAUAUGGUGACCUCCUGGGAGCGGGGCACCACCAGGUUGCCUAAGGACGGGUGAACCGGCCCAGGUCGGAAAAUAGUGACAUAAAUUCACAUGUUACUUGGGCUAUGACCAUACAGCAGAGAUUCAUAGUUAUUGAACUGUUUAUCUGGGACCCAGAAUUUGGUACAAACUUGGU
This 304-nucleotide small RNA is filed under the name Castor canadensis (American beaver). RNAcentral's name for it is "Metazoan signal recognition particle RNA (ENSCCNG00000004409.1)". It matches the Rfam family "Metazoan signal recognition particle RNA", at positions 1 to 203 of the family's 299-position model. From Rfam's summary of the family: The signal recognition particle (SRP) is a universally conserved ribonucleoprotein. It is involved in the co-translational targeting of proteins to membranes. The eukaryotic SRP consists of a 300-nucleotide 7S RNA and six proteins: SRPs 72, 68, 54, 19, 14, and 9. The record is from Rfam by way of RNAcentral. Lineage: Eukaryota; Metazoa; Chordata; Mammalia; Rodentia; Castoridae.